CCGUUGGGCCAGUGUACAUCGAUUCCGGUUGCAUCUCUACACUGGCUUAAGAUUCUCACAAACAUAACGCGUAUCUUCGGUUGUUCGUCGGAUCAAGAAGUCGGCGAGACGGGAGACGAAUCGAUGCGAAGGCCACUUCCGCGGAUUGGGAACAUCGAAGGUGGCCUCUCCGAAGUCGAUGAUCGUCAGCUUCUUUUCGUACGACUUGACCUUGACGGCUCCUCCAUCCGGCUUGUACUCCAGGUACUCGUCGUCGGUGUCGGUGAGGAGCACGUUCCGACAAUGGGCGUCGUUGUGAUACAACUUCAAGCUUGUCUCUCCGAUCAACAUCGUCAUCACGAACUGCUUCAUGAUUCCGAUGGAUUGCUGGGCCGUCAACGAAUCAGGUGGUUGGCUGGCCACCGGUCUCCCUCCUCUUGACAGAAUCACAACCAGCAUGUGAUUUGUCCGCCAGUUUUCUCGCAGCUGGUUUUUGACGUCUUGUGGCAUUCCAGUUACCACAGCCGCCAUCUCAAACUUCACAAGAUUGGGCGUUUGAUGGGCCACAUCACCGAGACGAUUCAGAGCAGCCACUUCCUGGAAGGCUUUCUUGUUUCGGUGGGACGGGUGCAAAGGAAUAAUCUUCGCCACCCUCUCCAGUCCCUUCCAGGUGCAGUUGAAAGCAUCUCCAGCAAUUCCUCCUCCCAGCUUCUGCUCCAACUCGAUUUUCAUCGCUGGCCACUGGACCACUUUCUUCUUGGUCGUCAUCUCGGGAAGAUAGCCGAACUGCUCGAAGUCUUUUUCCAGUGCUGUAAAAAAUGGAGUUAUAGAGAAAACUCACCAUUCCGACGCAAACGCAAGAGAUGAAGUAGAAAAGCACCGAAAACUGGAGUCCGAUAGAUAGAUACUCUUUAUGGAAAGAGGAAUACAGUGUGUUUGUUUUUCCAA
Caenorhabditis elegans is the source of this 927-nucleotide non-coding RNA. Ensembl annotates it as ncRNA. Its record names the gene Y48B6A.17. Lineage: Eukaryota; Metazoa; Nematoda; Chromadorea; Rhabditida; Rhabditidae. The record is from Ensembl.